Molecule: ribosomal RNA, 459 nt
Filed under: uncultured bacterium
Lineage: Bacteria
Description: partial 16S ribosomal RNA
Rfam family: Bacterial small subunit ribosomal RNA
Source: RNAcentral
CCUACGGGAGGCAGCAGUGAGGAAUAUUGGUCAAUGGCCGAGAGGCUGAACCAGCCAAGUCGCGUGAGGGAAGACGGCCCUACGGGUUGUAAACCUCUUUUGUCGGGGAGCAAAGCGAACCACGUGUGGUUCAUUGAGAGUACCCGAAGAAAAAGCAUCGGCUAACUCCGUGCCAGCAGCCGCGGUAAUACGGAGGGUGCGAGCGUUAUCCGGAUUUAUUGGGUUUAAGGGGUGCGCAGGCGGCGGUGCAAGUCAGCGGUCAAAUUGCGGGGCUCAACCCCGUACUGCCGUUGAAACUGCAUCCCUUGAGUGCGCGAGAAGGAGGCGGAAUGCGUGGUGUAGCGGUGAAAUGCAUAGAGAUCACGCAGAACUCCGAUUGCGAAGGCAGCAUACCGGCGCGGAACUGACGCUCAUGCACGAAAGCGUGGGUAUCGAACAGGAUUAGAUACCCGGGUAGUC